GUGUCUGACACGGCCCUUCGGUUGCAGGUCUGCAGCGUUCGGUCGGUAAUGGUGC
This is a non-coding RNA of Proteus mirabilis, 55 nucleotides long. The record is from Rfam. NCBI's taxonomy places the organism in Bacteria, Pseudomonadati, Pseudomonadota, Gammaproteobacteria, Enterobacterales, Morganellaceae.